UACGGAGGGUCCAAGCGUUAUCCGGAAUCAUUGGGUUUAAAGGGUCCGUAGGCGGUUUUGUAAGUCAGUGGUGAAAGCCCAUCGCUCAACGGUGGAACGGCCAUUGAAACUGUUAAACUUGAAUUAUUAGGAAGUAACUAGAAUAUGUAGUGUAGCGGUGAAAUGCUUAGAGAUUACAUGGAAUACCAAUUGCGAAGGCAGGUUACUACCAAUAUAUUGACGCUGAUGGACGAAAGCGUGGGGAGCGAACAGG
Molecule: ribosomal RNA, 253 nt
Filed under: uncultured bacterium
Lineage: Bacteria
Description: partial 16S ribosomal RNA
Rfam family: Bacterial small subunit ribosomal RNA
Source: RNAcentral